AACCCCAAUGGAUGCCCUUUUUUUAUUUAAAGCACUCUCGGGCCGGGGGGAGGAGAAGGAAGAUGCGGCGCCGUCACACUCUCCCGAUCAGAGACCGGCCUCCUCACAAGCGAAGGCAGAGGACAAGCAGCCCCCACCUUCCCGUCCUCUGAACUCUCUAGGCUAUUUUUAGGAAGACGAGAAAACCCGCGCUGCCCCCUCGUGUGUGGAGGAGUGGGGGCGGGGAGGCAGCUCUCUGCGCGCAGCCCUGAUGCAAGAACAAGAGGCACCAGAGACCAGCUCUGCCCGGCGGCGGGCCUUGCAGCACCUCAAUCAAAGCCUCUCCCCUCCCGCCCCCCGGGCUCAUAUUGUCAGCGGCGAAGGUAUCUGGACAACCUGCUGUCACUCACCACAGCACAGUGACUGGCGGGGAUCCCCGCUUGGAUCCCCAUAGAGAAGCAUCCCUGAUCUAAGCCGUAACCAGCCGCCGCAGCGGCUUUUCCAGCGCCCACAACGCAGCGUUCCGCCCAACACAUCACGCUCUCAACCCGGCCGCCCCCGCCGCUGGUUCAGGACGUGUUGCGCCUUCCUCCCAGAUCUUUAUUGAAGGGGAAGCGAAUCGUACACAUCCACUCACCUUCCCGACGGCCGAUUCAACAACGCAUGUUUCUCCCACUCGCUCGCACACUCUCUACUGCGGCGACGCCGCCUUUGCUUAUGAGAGACUCGCCGUCCCCCUCAGCAGCCGCCCCCCCCCGUGGGCUGUUGAGAGCUUGCUUGCUUUUUCUUCUUCAAAGGGAGGUCUUUUUAAAAGACGACGCCGGGGAUGCACUGGACAAACGCCGGGGCGUACUUCCCGCUAUUAUUCCAACCCCCAGCAUCCAGCUGCAGCUGCUGAUCCCAAAUUCACAGUACUCCGGCUGCAUGAAGUCAUAGUGCUCCUCCUCCUCCUCUUUCACUCCCCCCCCCGGAGCACCGCACUCGACUCCUGCGGGAGGAGGGAAGGAGACGAACACUUCUCCCCACCCUCCGAGAGGUUCGACGGGGUAGGCACACACACGACUUAAAAAGACAUUGGGAAGCUUCGCAUUGAUUUUUUUAUUAUUAUUAUUCAUCUCUGGCAUGCCGAAGAAGAGUUCCCACCUUCUCUUACUCCGACCCUCACCCCGGUUUUGAAUGCUCAAUGGGCUGUUCCACUCCGUGAUAAUCUCGCCUCCCCUCCAACUUCCCUCGGUGCUCCCUGGAGGGUCCGUUUACGAAGGGGGUGGAGGAUAGGAAUUGAUGCUCCGUGCAGUGCAGCGCGGAUCUAACUGUACCUGUGAGUUGCAGAUCCUGCUACCAAUCAGCCCCUUCCGGCAGGGUGGCUGGGGAAUGCAUCUUGCGCGCUGUGAGCCUCGCUUGCAAGUUGAUCGAGGAGCAGAGUGCUUGAGAAACGGAUUUCUCCCUGCGAAGCAUUUUCGAGGAGACGCUGCAUAGGGCUUUGACAUCAGUUGGGGAGGCUCUUCUGGCUGUGCCAACAUUGAUGAGAACAGGAUACAUCUGUGACCUUCAGUUACACUGCAGUGGAACACUCCCCCCCCCGAGUUCUGGCUGGUGUCUACUUAAUCUAUUUCUUGGCACCAUCUGAAGGAGCUGUGCCCAAGGACCCUCAGAAGUUUGGAGCCGGCUCUGCAGGUACCUGCACCGAAGGAGCUUGUAAUCUAAAUACUGACAGCAGAGGGCAGGGAAGAAACAGGAGCGAGAAUGGAAAGCAAAGUCUUGGACCAUCAGGAAGUUCUCCUUGAUGGUAUGAGCUGCUGGACAAUGGGACAAUAACCUGAAAAACUAUGACCUUUACCACAAGAGAUGAGGAAAUCUAUGAGUUCCAGAUGACUUCUGGAACUAACAAACUACAAGUUCCACUUACCACACUACAGUAGGAGAAAUGUGAGUUGUUUUUGCUUCUUCUUUCCCUAGUUGGGACUCCUUUCUCAUGGCCAGAAAGUGUGUAAGCUUAAUGCAUGGAGGCAAAGAACGAUUACACUCUGUUGUUGCUCCUGACUUCCACAGUUUCAUUCUAUGCAAUAGAGCAUAUGAAUUCAUGAAGGUAGGAAACAGGGAACAAAGGUACAAUCUCAUCCCCUUCUGUGUGUUUAGUCCAGACAGGUUCCAUCUCUGAAAAGGGCUGAGGCAUUGUGUGAAGUAAAUCUAAGUGAUAAAUAACUUGCACAGCAAGCUAGAAAUGGAAGAUGGGUCUCGUGAGUGCCAAGUUUAGGAACAAGCCAAGUAAGCCAUGGCUUAGUGCCUCACAUUAUGAGGGGCCUCUAAAUAGGUUGGAGAUAACUGUGAUUAUAAUUGAAAUUGAUUUGGUUUAACCUUUCAUAUAAAACCCACCACCAAAAUUCUGAACCCUGACCUCCACAUCCCAGUCCACACUCAAUCCCAUCAUCAUCGUUUCCAGAACUACUUGCAUCAUCCACAGGUUGCCCAACCUCACCUCAGACCUGAAGAGGAGACAAUGGGAGCUAAUGUCCCAACAUAUUCUAAAGUCCUGUUCUAUACCAGGCAUCAUUUCCACUAAUCUCCUCCUUGCCACUCUCCCACCUCUUUUUUUCUCUUAAUUUUUUAUAGUAUGGGGCCUCUGAAUCUUGACAUGGUUUAGGGCCCCAGCAUGUCUCAAUCUAGCCCAGGGUCUCCCUCAUUCAAAAUAAACACUCUUGCCAAUUUUCCAUGUUAAGCAGCACAAUCUGUGUUUUUCCAAGAAAGAGAUGAGCUUUGCUGUGGAAGUUGUUGGGGCAAAUGUUGAGGGGAAGGGACAGUCCUUUCCUGAAUGUUGCUCAGGAAAGUUUAUGUGUUGGUUAAGCUUGAUCUGUUCUUUGUGAUCAGUGAGCUGUGGAGCACUUAGGAAUCAUGCAGACUGUUGUUUAUUUCAUGGAUUGGGGCUACUAUUUCUAAAGUUAUCUCCACAGUCAAGAUGAGCUCAGUUCUCACCAUGUGCUUAUCCUAGUACACAUGACUGACAUGCACUGGUGUGGGGCCUGCUUAAACUCCUCAUUUUUCACAACUGAAUUACCACACCUAUUUCAAGAAUGUCUUUUCUCUGAGACACUAUCUCUAAGAACAAAAAGCCACUAUGUAAGUGAGCAUUAAGCCACCAGCCUCUUAGUUCUUCCCAAGGCUAUGCUAUGAAGACAGACCUUUGUUAAGAGGCAAGAGGGAAGACCUCUGAAAGGGUGGAACCAGAUGUAGUUUGUGGCCACUACUGGAUCAUGAUGAGUCAUUCUGUUAUUUCAUGCAUGUGGGGGAAGAAGGGGCACUCAUUAUGACACAUCUUAUUUAAGAUACAAACAGAUAUCUUAGUGAGGCCCAAGCCAAGGUUCUGUGGUUGGCUUCCAUGUCACACCAAAAAUGUAUGGCCACUUUGAUUACAUCGGUACUUCUCACAUGAACUUCCCAGAGGUCCCUGGGAAGAGGAUUGAUUAUUAAACCUCUCUAGGAACUGUAGUCCUGUGAGGGAAAUAGGGAGUCUCCAAACAACUGUCAGCCCCUUAACAAACUACAGUUGCCAGGAUUCUUUAGGGGAAGCCAUGAGGGUUUAAAGUGGUAUGCUACUGCUUUGAAUGUGUAGAGCAGAUGGGGCCUUUAUCCUGACUGGCAAUUGCUCUCUAGGGUCUCUAGAAGAGAUGUUUUCUACCUUUGCAGCCUGAGAUGGGACAAGAGGAACUGAGUCUAAAUCUUUAUACAUGCAAAGUGUAUGCUUUACCAUUGAAUUAUCGUUUAUGCUUUUAAGAGCCUCUUUGCAGAGCUUUAUUGUUUAUUAUUAUUUAGUUAUUAAAUUUAUAUCCUGCCCAUCCUCCCAGUAGGAGCCCAGAGGAAUUGUGCAAGAAUGAUGUAACGACAGCCACUCCUUUUUCCUAUUUGGUUUUACAAUCAUGUACAUGGCCUUCCUCCAUUUUUCUGGGCAAAAAUGUUAAUUGUGGAUUUUGUUAUUGUUGAGCAUCCAAGGCUUAAAAAUAUGAAUGCUAUUUCCCUGGGGUUCUUAGUGAUCUGCAGGAGUCUGAAGUUACAUAUCCUAAUUUCACUGACUCAAAAUGGAUCAGAAAACCAUGUUUAUUCAUAAUGACUAAAUCAUCUGCACAAUUGGUCUAGUGGACUGUUAACAUUUAGGAAUGCAAGUUGUGCAUGUAUACAGCAGUAGAUGUUUGGGACUUUAAAAGCUCACAUAGUUUAUUAAAUAAGGUUAGGCCAUUGAUCUGUUUUGGCGGGUUCAGUAAUUCUAUUUUAUUGCUUGCUGAUUGAAGCAAAACAGAAAUUGCAUUUUAAAUCCCAGCUUGGAAAGAGGAAGUUUCUGCACGAGAUACUUCUGCCCUGAUUCUCUUAUGGAAAGUUUUGUUUCUGAACUUUCAGGGCUUAGCUAUGCCUCAGAAAAUCUAGGUGCACCAGCCUAGGAUGAUGUUGUCAUUGUUGCCUCAUACGACUGGGCUUAUCAUGAUAUGUGAACCCAGCACAGAAAAGAUGCAUCCUGGCUGCUAGGGAAAAAGGAAGGGCAAACUAUGGAGAUUCCAAGGACCAGGGAAAACGACAGAAGCAGGAAACAUGCGCUAGAAGGGAGGGCAAAACAGCAGCUCUUUAGGACACCAGGGAUUCCUAUUGCCUGGUAUCCAAACAACUUACUCAUAAAUCCCAGCUCUGAUUUCACUCACUGGCUAAUAACACUGACAGGCAGGAUCAGCCAGGCUGGCUGGUUUCACCUAAGCCACUUAGAAGGGAACCUGCACAUGUUUCUUCAUAACAUUCUUUCUUGGAGGGCUAGAGAUUUUGUUUUAAAAUGAAAGCUCAGAUUCUGGGCUACCUGAUGUAGAUGCCAGGUUAGUGACCCCCAGUCUAAGCCAUCCAUGUCCAUCGGUCAGCUUGCCCUUAAACAUUUUAAAUUACAGGAACAACAAUUCAUACCUCUCUGGUCACCUGAGGUAAUUCUUCUCAAGCUAGUUUCAAGGGUGGUAUUUUUUUUUGGGGGGGGGGUGCUCUCAGAUUAGGGAACUCUGUAGGUCUGCUCCACACAAAAGAACACCCAGCACUCCUUCUUUCUGCAGAGGUACUUAUGGGGGUCCCCCAGAAUUCCCUCCCUUUGAAUAUUAGGCAGGUGGCAUCUCUGCUAUCUUUUCGGCACCUUUUGAAGACUUUCCUCUUUCAACAAACCUUUUAAGUUGAGAGCUAUCCCAGUCUGCAUCUGUGUCAGAAUCAUUUAAUAUAUUUUUAAUAAUGUU
This is a long non-coding RNA of Rhineura floridana, 5225 nucleotides long. RefSeq lists it as uncharacterized. The transcript has 4 exons. NCBI's taxonomy places the organism in Eukaryota, Metazoa, Chordata, Lepidosauria, Squamata, Rhineuridae. The record is from RefSeq and is a predicted model, not a curated record.